GUACUGAUGAGGAGUCCCAAACUAGGACGAAACAGCCGUCCAGUAC
This is a non-coding RNA of Trichobilharzia regenti, 46 nucleotides long. NCBI's taxonomy places the organism in Eukaryota, Metazoa, Platyhelminthes, Trematoda, Strigeidida, Schistosomatidae. The record is from Rfam.